Long non-coding RNA from Priapulus caudatus, 416 nucleotides. RefSeq lists it as uncharacterized. The record is from RefSeq and is a predicted model, not a curated record. The transcript is spliced from 3 exons. Lineage: Eukaryota; Metazoa; Priapulida; Priapulimorpha; Priapulimorphida; Priapulidae.
GUGCUGGUGUCCUACAACCAGGUGCGACACCACGGCCCGAAGCGCACUGACUCGUUCAAGGCCGCACUCAACAUCAUCAGCGAAGACUCCCCUGGUCCCGCGCCGCCGCAGCCGCCGCCGCUCGCCGAUGAUGAUGACGACCGAUACGCAGAUGGUCGCGUCGGCCCCGGCCAGCCGCCUGCCGAGGUGGCGCCCUCUAGCAGGGAGAGUGAGUUUCGUGAGAAGGUGGUUGAUCGUGCGGGUGUGCGGUACGACGAGGUGCUCCAGCUCGUGCAUCUACAGCAGGAGCGACUAACCGAUCAGACGUCACAGCUCAACAACUACGACACAGAGUUGAACUACUGGGACGGCAGAGAGCAGGAGCUACAGGACCAGCUGUCGGCCGUGCUGGUGUGCGUGCGCAACGAGGCGGCGAC